This 482-nucleotide ribosomal RNA is filed under the name uncultured bacterium. Its description in RNAcentral is "bacterial SSU rRNA". It matches the Rfam family "Bacterial small subunit ribosomal RNA", at positions 28 to 509 of the family's 1533-position model. The record is from RNAcentral.
GAUGAACGCUAGCGGCAGGCUUAACACAUGCAAGUCGAGGGGUAUUGGUUUUCGGACCAAGAGACCGGCGCACGGGUGCGUAACGCGUAUGCAAUCUACCUUUUGCAGAGGGAUAGCCCAGAGAAAUUUGGAUUAAUACCUCAUAGUAUAGUACUUUGGCAUCAAGGAACUAUUAAAGUCACAAACGGCAAAAGAUGAGCAUGCGUCCCAUUAGCUAGUUGGUAAGGUAACGGCUUACCAAGGCUACGAUGGGUAGGGGUCCUGAGAGGGAGAUCCCCCACACUGGUACUGAGACACGGACCAGACUCCUACGGGAGGCAGCAGUGAGGAAUAUUGGACAAAUGGGCGCAAGCCUGAUCCAGCCAUGCCGCGUGCAGGAUGACGGUCCUAUGGAUUGUAAACUGCUUUUAUACAGGAAGAAACACUCCGACGUGUCGGAGCUUGACGGUACUGUAAGAAUAAGGAUCGGCUAACUCCGUGCC